This 494-nucleotide ribosomal RNA is filed under the name uncultured bacterium. RNAcentral's name for it is "partial 16S ribosomal RNA". It matches the Rfam family "Bacterial small subunit ribosomal RNA", at positions 28 to 507 of the family's 1533-position model. The record is from RNAcentral.
GACGAACGCUGGCGGCGUGCUUAACACAUGCAAGUCGAACGGAAAGGCCUGCUUUCCCUUGUGGAUUGCGGGUACUCGAGUGGCGAACGGGUGAGUAACACGUGAGUGAUCUGCCCCCAACUUGGGUAUAAGCCUGGGAAACUGGGUCUAAUUCCCGAUAGGACUGCAGGGUGGUGCCUGUGGUGGAAAACGAUUUUCUAGUGGUUGGGGAUGAGCUCGCGGCCUAUCAGCUUGUUGGUGGGGUAAUGGCCUACCAAGGCGGCGACGGGUAGCCGGCCUGAGAGGGUGGACGGCCACAGUGGGACUGAGAUACGGCCCAGACUCCUACGGGAGGCAGCAGGGGGGAAUAUUGCACAAUGGGCGGAAGCCUGAUGCAGCGACGCCGCGUGGGGGAUGACGGCCUUCGGGUUGUAAACUCCUUUCGACCGCGAGGAAGCCACCUGGUUGGAAGGGUGGUGACGGUAGUGGUAGAAGAAGCACCGGCUAACUACGUG